UAAUACGGAGGGUGCGAGCGUUGUUCGGAAUUAUUGGGCGUAAAGGGCACGUAGGCGGCCGCUUAAGUCUCUUGGUGAAAGGCCGGGGCUCAACCCCGAGCAAGCCGGGGAUACUGGGGGGCUGGAGACAGGUAGAGGCCAGCGGAAUUCCGGGUGUAGCGGUGGAAUGCGUAGAGAUCCGGAAGAACACCGGAGGCGAAGGCGGCUGGCUGGACCUGAUCUGACGCUGAGGUGCGAAAGCGUGGGGAGCGAACAGGAUUAGAUACCCUGGUAGUCCACGCCGUAAACGAUGGAGACUAGAUGCCGGGGGGAUCGAGCCCUUCGGUGUCGGAGCUAACGCGUUAAGUCUCCCGCCUGGGGAGUACGGCCGCAAGGCUG
Molecule: ribosomal RNA, 378 nt
Filed under: uncultured bacterium
Lineage: Bacteria
Description: bacterial SSU rRNA
Rfam family: Bacterial small subunit ribosomal RNA
Source: RNAcentral